Molecule: transfer RNA, 74 nt
Filed under: Planctomycetota bacterium
Lineage: Bacteria; Pseudomonadati; Planctomycetota
Description: Planctomycetes bacterium (marine metagenome) tRNA-Thr
Rfam family: tRNA
About the family: Transfer RNA (tRNA) molecules are approximately 80 nucleotides in length. Their secondary structure includes four short double-helical elements and three loops (D, anti-codon, and T loops).
Source: RNAcentral
GCCCUCGUAGCUCAAGAGCAGAGCACUUCCCUGGUACGGAAGAGAUCCGGGUGCGACUCCCGGCGCGGGCUUCA